GGUUGGACGAGAUAUAAUCUGUUUCAUUUAAAAUUUAGUUAGAAUUUUAUUUUUUAGUUAAAAAGCUAAAAUAUAUUCAAAAGACGAGAAGACCCUAUAAAUCUUGAUUAUUUAGUAAUUUUUAGUUUAUUUUGAUUUUUUUUAUUAUAAAUUUAUUAAUUAAUUUUAUUGGGGUGAUAUUAAAAUUUAAAUAACUUUUAAUAAUUUUUAUCAUUUAUUUAUGAUUAAGUGAUCCAUUAUUAGUGAUUAGAAAAUUAAGUUACUUUAGGGAUAACAGCGUAAUUUUUUUGGAGAGUUCUUAUCGAUAAAAAAGUUUGCGACCUCGAUGUUGGAUUAAGAUUCAUAUUUAAAUGUAGAAGUUUAAAUAUAAAGUCUGUUCGACUUUUUAUUCUUACAUGAUCUGAGUUCAAACCGGUGUAAGCCAGGUUGGUUUCUAUCUUUGAUUUGGUAAAAUAUUUUAGUACGAAAGGAAUUAAUAUUUAU
Molecule: ribosomal RNA, 483 nt
Filed under: Teleopsis dalmanni
Lineage: Eukaryota; Metazoa; Arthropoda; Insecta; Diptera; Diopsidae
Description: partial 16S ribosomal RNA
Rfam family: Bacterial large subunit ribosomal RNA (bases 270-428)
Source: RNAcentral